Molecule: ribosomal RNA, 1149 nt
Filed under: Clostridioides difficile
Lineage: Bacteria; Bacillati; Bacillota; Clostridia; Peptostreptococcales; Peptostreptococcaceae
Description: partial 23S ribosomal RNA
Rfam family: Bacterial large subunit ribosomal RNA
Source: RNAcentral
GCUGGGAUGUGAUGGGGAGCGAAAUUUAGUAGCGAAGUAGCUGAUUUCACACUGUCAAGAAAAGUCUCUAUCGAGGUUAAAGGUACCCGUACCGCAAACCGACACAGGUGGGUGAGGAGAGUAUCCUAAGGCCAGCGAGAGAACUGUUGUUAAGGAACUCGGCAAAAUGACCCCGUAACUUAGGGAUAAGGGGUGCCACCAUCCGGUGGCCGCAGAGAAUAGGCCCAAGCGACUGUUUACCAAAAACAUAGGUUUCUGCUAAGUCGCAAGACGAUGUAUAGGAGCUGACGCCUGCCCGGUGCUGGAAGGUUAAGGGGAUCUGUUAGAGCAAUCGAAGCAGUGAACUUAAGCCCCAGUAAACGGCGGCCGUAACUAUAACGGUCCUAAGGUAGCGAAAUUCCUUGUCGGGUAAGUUCCGACCCGCACGAAAGGCGUAACGAUUUGGGCACUGUCUCAACAACAGACUCGGUGAAAUUGUAAUUCCGGUGAAGAUGCCGGAUACCUGCGACAGGACGGAAAGACCCCAUGGAGCUUUACUGUAGCUUGACAUUGGGUCUUGGUACUACAUGUACAGGAUAGGUGGGAGGCUUUGAAACCAGGACGCCAGUUUUGGCGGAGCCAUCCUUGGGAUACCACCCUUGUAGUACUGGGACUCUAACCAUAGGCCAUGAAUCUGGUCUUGGGACACUGUCAGGUGGGCAGUUUGACUGGGGCGGUCGCCUCCCAAAAGGUAACGGAGGCGCUCAAAGGUUCUCUCAGUACGGUCGGAAAUCGUACGUAGAGUGUAAAGGCAAAAGAGAGCUUGAUUGCAAGACAUACAGGUCGAGCAAGGAUGAAAAUCGGACUUAGUGAUCCGGUGGUUCUGCGUGGAAGGGCCAUCGCUCAACGGAUAAAAGCUACCCUGGGGAUAACAGGCUUAUCUCCCCCAAGAGUCCACAUCGACGGGGAGGUUUGGCACCUCGAUGUCGGCUCAUCACAUCCUGGGGCUGUAGUAGGUCCCAAGGGUUGGGCUGUUCGCCCAUUAAAGUGGUACGCGAGCUGGGUUCAGAACGUCGUGAGACAGUUCGGUCCCUAUCCGUCGCAGGCGUAGGAAAUUUGAGAAGACCUGUCCUUAGUACGAGAGGACCGGGAUGGACGUACCUCUGGUGU